RNAcentral lists this long non-coding RNA (2393 nucleotides) under Homo sapiens (human). RNAcentral's name for it is "HSALNT0275877". Lineage: Eukaryota; Metazoa; Chordata; Mammalia; Primates; Hominidae. The record is from RNAcentral.
AUCGCACCACUGCACUCCAGCCUGGGAGACAGAGCAAGACUCCGUCUCAAAAAAAAAAGAAUAGGCAGGAUCUCAGACAGGAGACCCUCGUGACUGUGUGACUGUGGUUGCCUGACACACGACCAGAGACAGCAAGUCAUUGACCUACUGCUUGCCUCGUUUUACCUGUUUGCGAAGCAGAGAUGCCAACAUGGGACUCACUGCAUUUUUAGAAGGAGCUAGAGCUGGACAGCCCAGCCUUCCUGUUUUAACCCAGCCUCCUCUGGGCUGGAGUGAGGAUCAAGUGUGAGAUGCCCCUAAAUGGAAACACAUCGCGCUCAGCAGAUGCCUGGUGGACGGCCGACCAGGAGCUGGAGCUGCAGCAAGAGCACAAGAGAGCUGGGCUUCCAGCUGCUCUGCCAUUGGCCCUGCUUGGGCCUCAGCUUCUCCAUAUGCUCAGUGCGUGCUUGGAGGAUGGAAGUGUUUUGGGGCCUCUGGAAUCCGCUGUCUUGUGAUGCCUGCAAUGCUGAGACCUGGGGUCGGGGGAGCAGAAUGAAAGCGGAGCCCAGGAGGGCAGAUGGUGGGAAGGAGCACUCCAGUGCCCCAUGUGGUGGGAGGCUGGGUGGGCAGAGGGGAGAGGGAGGACAUGGGGAAGGGCAAGGAGAGGCCACCACUGCUGGAUCUUCCCGAGGGCUGUCUAACUCCCUCCCGAGGGCUGUCUAGCUCCAUCAGGGGGCGCUUCCCCAUGCACCCCCAUCCCAGGUGUUAUCUCGAGCAAGGAAGGGCAGAGGGAAGAGAGGGUGGGCAAUGUGGGGGCCCCAGGGAGUGUUGGAGGGGCUGAGGCCCUGAUAGGUGGGCGCCUGAGUUCUGAAGAGGCCCUGGCAGUGAUGACCCCUGGCUCCAAGACUGGAACCCAGGAGCAGCAGGCUGGGGCAGAAGACGCAGGCCAAGCCCCAGUACUCAGGAGCAUUGGGGAAACCAGGGCAGCUCCCGGAGAGGCCAAGGUGACCCUCAGACCCUAAAAACAGACUGGCCACGUCUCCCAGGUGGAUGCAGCAGUUUCUCCAUGAGCAUGACUUGGGGAUUUAGGGCACUGAGACUCUGCUACCCACCCCCCUUAAAAAUCCCUUGUGACUCCCAGUUGUCCUGAAGGGGAACCCCAAACUCCUCAGAGGCAGCACAUGCUGGUGGGUGAGAAUUGGGAGCCUGAGUCCAAGUUCCAGCCUGGCCACUAUCGGCUGUGUGACCACCAGUAACUCGCCUAACCUCUCUGGGCCUCAUGGGCUCGUUGGAGGAUGUGGUGAGCGAGUGACUGAGAUGAGCUUAGCACAGUGCCGGCCACACUGCCAUUGUUCAGUGCCGGGUGGCUGUGCUUACCACCACUGCUGGCUGUAACUGGCAGAGCAGGGCAUAGAAGGUCUUGGCCACUUGAACCCUAGUUGGCCUAUCCUUUCUCAUCGGCUCCAGCUCCACCCGCUGAUGCCGCCCCAACACCAAGCUGCUCUCUGUUCCCUCAACACUCCUUGGUCUUUCAUGCCACUGGGCCUUUGCUUCUGCUGUGCCCCCGUCAGGAAUGCCCUUUCCCCUCCAGGCUGCUUCCAGACUCUGCCGGUUGUCGAGUGCCCUGGAAACCCGCUCACCCUGCAGGAGUUACUCAGUGUCCUGUGUGCAUCCAGACCUUGGUGUGUGGUAUCGAGCCUGUCUCCUGUCUGAGUCUGUGACUUCUCAGGCGCACAUGUCGUGGCCUAUUCAUUUUCUUAUCCUCGUUGCCCAGCGCCGCGCCUGUCACACGGUGGGUGCUCCGUAGAGUGGGCUGGAGGAUAGAAGCAAUCAAUCCCCAAUACCGUGGACGUGCUUGGUGGCAGGAGAUGCUUUGCUUCGAUGAAAUGCUCCGCCUCCAGGAGAAGACCUUGGUUUUGACCCUGAGGAAACAGCAAAACUUGGACCUUGAAGACAGGAGAUUGCCAUGACUAAUUUGGGGGCAGGCGGUGUGACUUUGAGUAUGUUACCUAACCUUGCUGAGCCACGUGGUACUGGUGAGGAUUCGGUGAGAUGACAACUGGUCACAGCAUGGCAGGCCUCCUGGCAUGUCCCUGACUCUCCUUCAACAGGAGCUUUCGAUAUAUUAGGGAGCAGGCUGUUGUGCCCCUUGGUGAGAUCACUUCGGGAUGUAGAGCCUUGUGAGCGCAGGCCUCCCAGAAGUCCAUCUUCCUCACCAACAAAUGACCCGGUUCCGGAGAAAGAUCUCGCCUUUGGUUGCAAGGGUCGGAUGGCAGUGGCAAUGAACCGGCUCGAUGUUUCACUGUCUUCACUGUCUGCCUCCCUCCCUGGACUGUGAGUCCUCCAAGGGCUGUUAGUGUGUUUGUGCACUCACAGUUGAACCCCAGAACCCAGGCAGGCCUGGCCCGUGGUGG